GGAGGAUUUUGUGUGGGAGUGUCUGACUGUAUUGUACGUGUUAUUGGUUGUUCUGUAAAACCCUGUGGGCAGUACUAAGUUUGUGGAUUGGGAAUAAAAGAGGCUGUAUGUGCCAGUCCAGUCAGUUCCUGCUUAACCCUCAAAGUGAAGUGUCAUCUCAUUAUUGGGGGAGGAUUUAUUGUAUGCUGUUCCAGUUUGACUGCUAGGAGUGUAAACCUAUUCGCAUGUUUUUUCCUAUUCAGCUGUAUACAACAUUCAUAUGCUUGAGAGCAUUCAUAU
Molecule: long non-coding RNA, 279 nt
Filed under: Pelobates cultripes (western spadefoot toad)
Lineage: Eukaryota; Metazoa; Chordata; Amphibia; Anura; Pelobatidae
Source: RNAcentral